Molecule: ribosomal RNA, 296 nt
Filed under: uncultured bacterium
Lineage: Bacteria
Description: partial 16S ribosomal RNA
Rfam family: Bacterial small subunit ribosomal RNA
Source: RNAcentral
GACGAACGCUGGCGGCGUGCUUAACACAUGCAAGUCGAGCGGUAAGGCCCUUUCGGGGGUACACGAGCGGCGAACGGGUGAGUAACACGUGGGUGACCUGCCUUUAGCUCUGGGAUAAGCCUGGGGAAACUGGGUCUAAUACCGGAUACGACUCCGCGGUGCAUGCUGUGGGGUGGAAAGCCUUGUGCGGCUGGAGAUGGGCCCGCGGCCUAUCAGCUUGUUGGUAGGGUGAUGGCCUACCAAGGCGACGACGGGUAGCCGGCCUGAGAGGGCGACCGGCCACACCUGGGACUGAG